Molecule: long non-coding RNA, 295 nt
Organism: Oncorhynchus keta (chum salmon)
Lineage: Eukaryota; Metazoa; Chordata; Actinopteri; Salmoniformes; Salmonidae
Exons: 3
Source: RefSeq, a predicted model, not a curated record
GACCUGUGUGUCUAGGUGGGCAGUGCCCAAUGAUGUACGACCUGUGUGUCUAGGUAGGUAGUGCCCAAUGAUGUACGACCUGUGUGUCUAGGUAGGUAGUGCCCAAUGAUGUACGACCUGUGUGUCUAGGUGGGCAGUGCCCAAUGAUGUACGACCUGUGUGUCUAGGUAGGUAGUGCCCAAUGAUGUACGACCUGUGUGUCUAGGUAGGUAGUGCCCAAUGAUGUACGACCUGUGUGUCUAGGUAGGUAGUGCCCAAUGAUGUACGACCUGUGUGUCUAGGUAGGUAGUGCCCA